RNAcentral lists this ribosomal RNA (119 nucleotides) under Salmo salar (Atlantic salmon). The record is from RNAcentral. Lineage: Eukaryota; Metazoa; Chordata; Actinopteri; Salmoniformes; Salmonidae.
GCUUACGGCCAUAUCAGCCUGGGUACGCCCGAUCUCGUCUGAUCUCGGAAGCUAAGCAGGGUCGGGCCUGGUUAGUACUUGGAUGGGAGACCGCCUGGGAAUACCAUGUGCUGUAAGCA